Long non-coding RNA from Peromyscus californicus insignis, 4377 nucleotides. RefSeq lists it as uncharacterized. The transcript is spliced from 2 exons. The record is from RefSeq and is a predicted model, not a curated record. NCBI's taxonomy places the organism in Eukaryota, Metazoa, Chordata, Mammalia, Rodentia, Cricetidae.
CCAGCAAGUGCUAUAAAUGAAUCAGUCACUAAUCAUCUACAGCACAGAGCUGACUGGCCUUUAUUCAUAUAAAACAUGAUGAACAACACUGCCUGGGAAGAGCUGAAGAUUUCUCUCAUGAUGGAAAAUAAAUAUUGCAGGGGAGGGGAGAGGUUCCCCUGGCAUCCUUUCCAUCUCCAGUGUCUCCGGGAUGCUGACAGCUAAGUUGGACAGAGGAAGAGACACGUGAGAAAAAGAGAAAGUGGUCCUCAACUUAUUCUACAGCUUGUGACGUUUAUCCGGUUCAGACCUGACCUGCUCUCCAUCAAGUUUAUAAAUGUCUCGCCACCUUUUGUGGCUUUAGCAAGAUGUUAGAAACGGAAGCCACUCUAUGUUCUGGAAUGCUGCCCCUCGCCUUUCUGUUCUGGGUCGAUAUUUACCACUGUGCCUGUGCAAGAGAGACCUGUUCCCCCACUGUGCACGGUGAUGGUGGAAGCCACAUUGCUUUUCAGCAUGGAGUAAGAAAUGGGAUAGAAUGAGAUGAUUCUGAAGAGCAUGUUCUGCAAAGGAGAACAGAGAGAACACGUGGAAGCCUGCAGAGCUGCUCUUGCUGGGUGUAGCUCUCAGCUACUGCUCCAGAGCCAUGACUGCUGCCAUGUUUCCCACCAUGAUGACAAUGAACUAAGCCUCUGAAACUGUAAGUAAGCCCCAAUUAAAUGCUUUCCUUUAUAAAAGUUGCCUUGGUCACGUACCUCUUCACAGUAAUAGAACAGUGACUAAGACGGAUAUUUAAAGGCAAUUAUCAAAACUUGAAAAAGAAAAAGUUGGGCCAGAGAAAUAACUCAGCAGGUGGAAGUCCCCAAGAACAGUGACCUGAAUUUGAUGCCCUGAUCCAUAUGUAGAAGGAGAGAAUGGACUCCCAUAGGCUUUCCCAAGUCUACACAGGUGUACUGUGCCAUACACUCCCCUCUCCUGAUAUACAGAUAAAAAAUGUAGCAAAAAAUGUUUUUAAAAGAAAAAAAAGCUAAACUAAUUUGUUUUGUUUUGUUUUUGUUGUUUUGAGACAGGGUCUCCUGGAACUCACAGAGAUCCACUUGCCUCUGCAUGGGAUUAAAGUUGAGGAUCACCACGCCUCACUCAUAAAACCCAUUUUAAAGCAGCUGCUCCUUCUGGCUGCUUCUAGAAGGAGGCCCUUUUUCCUACCAUCAUUUUUAUAUCAUUUGAAGGAUGUUUUGCAAACUUACAUUUCCUUCAUUCCUAUAAAGCCAUGUGGAACCCUUUCUGAGGAUAAUGUGCGAUGUAAACACGCCAAUAAAACAAAGACUCUUUCCCAGGGAGAAAAUAUCAUCUUGGUAGUGGCUACAAUAGGAAACAGAAUCAUUUACUCAAGGAAAAAUAAGCAAGGCUCAUGAGCCUGAAGACCAAGACUGGGUUAAGCUUUUCUUGGCUGUGGGAUACUUGGCAUGCGAUCGGCCCUCCAUACUUAUUUGUUAGCUAAGUGAAAUAUGUACUGUCACAAGCUGGCUGAACUUCUUGAUGCUUUUAGAGAGUGAAAUGGGGUUAAAAGAUGUGAAGGGUAGUUAAUUUAUCGUCUAAGAGUCUCUUCUCCAGGAAGAGAGCUCAGUUCCUUGAAGAUAAAUGAUUACUAUUUUUAUCAUCUCAAGCCUUACAUGAUUCUUUCAGCAGCUCUCUCCGGCCAGCUACUCCUCAGCCAGGGAGUUUACACUUAUUUAGAGUUAAGAUCUGUUGGUUUUCCUGUCUCUGGAUAUCCAAGAAUAUACACAUAUACACAAUAUUCACAUAUUAUGCAUUAAUUAUGCAAUUAUAUAAGAGAAUAUUUAUACAAUUGUGCAAUAAUUAUAAUAUAAUUAACUAUCUGAUAAUUAUAUAAUCUAUAAAUACAAAUAUGCAUAAAUAUAAUAUAUAAUAUAUAUUUUUUUUUAUAUAUAUACUGUGGGAGGCCAGUUUCCACCUUUUAAAGGGUUCCUAUGAGAAGGAGAGACAGAUAAGAAACAUUUUAGAUAGAAAGACAGCAAAGAGGAGAAAGACAGAAACACAGGAUAGCUUCAGGAGGACCUGGACCAAAACCCAGCGGUUCCUUCUGCCUCUUCAAAAGGGCUUUUUAUAGCAAUGCCAAGGGGUGGGGCCAAAGACCUCCCCCUUGCUAGACACAGCCAAGUUCAGACCCUUCCAAAUACCUGGUAACCACGCCUGUGGUCCAAUCAUCCCCUUAAGCAGUCCUGCUGGGUAAAUCAAUCUCAGAUCUCACUAGGAAACCUCUGUGGACUCCUACAAUAUACACAUAUAUUUGUGUGUGUGCGCACAUAUGUAUGUAUGUAUGUAUGUAUGUAUGUAUGUAUGUAUGUUUGGGUUGUAGAAAUAUAGAAAUGAGAUCUUUUUGCCAGGCCCACAAGUUGAAUUAAUGAUUUCCCAGCAGUGGCAUCUGUUGGAAAAAAAAUCUUCAUUUGGCUCAAACCAAUUCUGCAGCCUUUAUUUUGCUCAAACCCGAUAGCUGAGGCAACACCCUACUAUAAUAGUUCAGCUGUGAUCACUCCUGGUAAUUGUCUCUGAAAGGCUUGUCUUCAAGUCCUGCAUGUCUGUCAGACCUUCCUUAGGUCAGCCAAGGACAACUGUCUGAUGAUUUCCGUCUGGGUCUUAAUAAGCGCCACCUACACCCAGGUGUUUGGCAGUUAUCACUGAACAAACACCCCCAGGAGAGGGGUGUAGGGAGGAGAGAAAGCCAUCAGCUUUUGAGACAGGACAGAGCUCAGCCUGGCUGCUAGAACACUCCCGAAGGCCCUCUGUCCAGGCUGACUUUGCUUUCCUUUGGUAGAGUUAGAAGAAGGAGCUUGUUGGCUGGCCCGUGGCUGUGCUGAGGGGAAGCAGCCCGCGUAGGCUGGAGUGAAGCGGUUAGUCAUUCCUCCACCUUUCUUAGCUAUCCCUGCACUGAGGUUACCUCUUCUAAGAGCAGAGACAAAGAUCAUGUUAUGUUCGGUGCCAAGGGCUGGACCCGGGAAGGUGCUGGCGAGAGGUGAUGACUGGCUGGUUUUUCUGUAGACAAAUUGGCCAGGAGGAUUUUUACAAAGUUGGCCUCGGGAAUUACGUCCUUUCUUCUUCCUUUUUUUUUUUUUUUUUCUGACGAUAAUGAAUGAACCAUGUUGAGCUUGUUUGCAAUCAGACAACAAGUCCCCAUUCAUUAGCAACCAGAGCAGGCUCCCAGCUCUGGGACCCUGAAAGUGCUGCUCCCUGCUCCAUCCAAGGUUGAGCAAUUUUAGCGUUCAGCCUCAGGGCUGCCGACUCAGGUGUCCUGGGAGUCCUUGGAUGUUGAUGCAGGCGGCAGAGAGAGAGCCGACUGUCUCCCUUGCUUGAAUUUAUAGAGCUCAUGGCUUGUCAUCUGUUUCAGGGAUAUGGAGUAACUAAAGACACAGGAGUUUCAAUUUUUAUCUUGUGUUAUAAGGGAAGGGAAUUAUCAUAUAGCUGCUGGGCCCUGGAUGACUCAGCCUUCAGUCUUCUCAUGGGAGUUGCCCCAGAGGACACUUCUUCACCGAAACAAACAAGAGUCCACCCAUGAUCUGGCCCUGAUCUGCCUUGAAAAUAAAGGAUGUGAAUUCGGAUUUUUCAAUUUUUUUUUUAUUUUCAAAAGCAAAAGUCAAUUUAUGAUUUGGGUUUUAAUUAAUUUAUUAUUAUUGUUACUUCUGCUUUGUUGAGAUAAGGUGUCACUAUGAAGCUUAAGCAGGCCUUGAGCUUGUGACCCUCCUGUCUCAGGCCCGCAAGGACUUCUGGGGUUAUAGGCACACUCCACCAUGCCUGGCUCUGAAAGAAAAAUGAUGCUCGCCUUGACACUGGACAUGGUUGUUGCUUGUGUGCUUGUGCUUGUGAAAUGGGAGAUGUAGUGUUUGGGGGACAAUAUGGCAGAGACAGUGUGAUGGGGUGUGGUGGGGACAGUGUGGUGAGGACAGUGAUGGGGAUGGUGUGACGGGAACAGUGUGGUGGGGACAGGGUGAUGGGUGUGGUGGUUGUGAGGAGCCUGUGGGGUACUGGCACUUAAUUGCUGUAGCCAUCAGUCAAAGCACAUUUGUGUCCCCAGAUCCUCUGAUCCGCACUUGGGCCCAGAUGGCAAAGGUGUAGAAGACCCUAGGGAUGCCAUGCCGAGCCGAGCCAAAGCCAGCGUCUCUACACCAGCUCCAUGAACUGUCUGCCAUAUUGUGCCUGGAUUUCCUUGCCUGCCAAAGAAAUUCCCAUCAGUGUUUACUUCAGAGCCUGGCUGUGAUGGUUAGAUGCAUUAAGGACUCUGACACAUGAAUGUGUUUAUGGAAUAUAAUUUCAUUAGAUUUAAUGCAUUCAGUGGAGAGCUAUCUUCAUAAGUACAAUGUAAGAAUAAAUUGCAUAUAUAUUAUA